RNAcentral lists this ribosomal RNA (568 nucleotides) under Aspergillus sp. OY10607. Its description in RNAcentral is "eukaryotic LSU rRNA". The stretch from base 194 to 347 matches the Rfam family "5.8S ribosomal RNA". The record is from RNAcentral. Lineage: Eukaryota; Fungi; Ascomycota; Eurotiomycetes; Eurotiales; Aspergillaceae.
UUACUGAGUGAGGGUUCCUUCGGGGCCCAACCUCCCACCCUUGUAUACUGUACCAAGUUGCUUCGGCGGGCCCGCCGUUCGCGCGGCCGCCGGGGGGGAACCCCUCCCCCCGGGCGAGCGCCCGCCGGAGACCCCAACGUGAACACUGUCUGAAGUUUUGUCGUCUGAGUUCGAUUGUAUCGCAAUCAGUUAAAACUUUCAACAAUGGAUCUCUUGGUUCCGGCAUCGAUGAAGAACGCAGCGAAAUGCGAUAAUUAAUGUGAAUUGCAGAAUUCAGUGAAUCAUCGAGUCUUUGAACGCACAUUGCACCCCCUGGUAUUCCGGGGGGUAUGCCUGUCCGAGCGUCAUUGCUGCCCUCAAGCCCGGCUUGUGUGUUGGGUCCUCGUCCCCCCCGGGGGACGGGCCCGAAAGGCAGCGGCGGCACCGCGUCCGGUCCUCGAGCGUAUGGGGCUUUGUCACACCGCUCUCGUAGGCCCGGCCGGCGCUGGCCGACGCUGAAAAGCAACCAUUAUUUCUCCAGGUUGACCUCGGAUCAGGUAGGGAUACCCGCUGAACUUAAGCAUAUCAA